This 1379-nucleotide ribosomal RNA is filed under the name Ligilactobacillus salivarius. RNAcentral's name for it is "bacterial SSU rRNA". It matches the Rfam family "Bacterial small subunit ribosomal RNA", at positions 66 to 1423 of the family's 1533-position model. Lineage: Bacteria; Bacillati; Bacillota; Bacilli; Lactobacillales; Lactobacillaceae. The record is from RNAcentral.
CCGAAUGCUUGCAUUCACCGUAAGAAGUUGAGUGGCGGACGGGUGAGUAACACGUGGGUAACCUGCCUAAAAGAAGGGGAUAACACUUGGAAACAGGUGCUAAUACCGUAUAUCUCUAAGGAUCGCAUGAUCCUUAGAUGAAAGAUGGUUCUGCUAUCGCUUUUAGAUGGACCCGCGGCGUAUUAACUAGUUGGUGGGGUAACGGCCUACCAAGGUGAUGAUACGUAGCCGAACUGAGAGGUUGAUCGGCCACAUUGGGACUGAGACACGGCCCAAACUCCUACGGGAGGCAGCAGUAGGGAAUCUUCCACAAUGGACGCAAGUCUGAUGGAGCAACGCCGCGUGAGUGAAGAAGGUCUUCGGAUCGGAAAAAUCUGUUGUUAGAGAAGAACACGAGUGAGAGUAACUGUUCAUUCGAUGACGGUAUCUAACCAGCAAGUCACGGCUAACUACGUGCCAGCAGCCGCGGUAAUACGUAGGUGGCAAGCGUUGUCCGGAUUUAUUGGGCGUAAAGGGAACGCAGGCGGUCUUUUAAGUCUGAUGUGAAAGCCUUCGGCUUAACCGGAGUAGUGCAUUGGAAACUGGAAGACUUGAGUGCAGAAGAGGAGAGUGGAACUCCAUGUGUAGCGGUGAAAUGCGUAGAUAUAUGGAAGAACACCAGUGGCGAAAGCGGCUCUCUGGUCUGUAACUGACGCUGAGGUUCGAAAGCGUGGGUAGCAAACAGGAUUAGAUACCCUGGUAGUCCACGCCGUAAACGAUGAAUGCUAGGUGUUGGAGGGUUUCCGCCCUUCAGUGCCGCAGCUAACGCAAUAAGCAUUCCGCCUGGGGAGUACGACCGCAAGGUUGAAACUCAAAGGAAUUGACGGGGGGCCCGCACAAGCGGUGGAGCAUGUGGUUUAAUUCGAAGCAACGCGAAGAACCUUACCAGGUCUUGACAUCCUUUGACCACCUAAAAAGAUUAAGGCUUUCCCUUUCGGGGACAAAAGUGACAAGGUGGGUGCAUGGGCUGUCGUCAGCUCGUGUCGUGAGAUGUUGGGUUAAGUCCCGCAACGAGCGCAACCCUUGUUGUCAGUUGCCAGCAUUAAGUUGGGCACUCUGGCGAGACUGCCGGUGACAAACCGGAGGAAGGUGGGGACGACGUCAAGUCAUCAUGCCCCUUAUGACCUGGGCUACACACGUGCUACAAUGGACGGUACAACGAGUUGCAAGACCGCGAGGUUUAGCUAAUCUCUUAAAGCCGUUCUCAGUUCGGAUUGUAGGCUGCAACUCGCCUACAUGAAGUCGGAAUCGCUAGUAAUCGCGAAUCAGCAUGUCGCGGUGAAUACGUUCCCGGGCCUUGUACACACCGCCCGUCACACCAUGAGAGUUUGUAACACCCA